UGGGGAAUUUUGGACAAUGGGCGAAAGCCUGAUCCAGCAAUGCCGCGUGUGUGAAGAAGGCCUUCGGGUUGUAAAGCACUUUUGUCCGGAAAGAAAUCCUUGGCUCUAAUACAGUCGGGGGAUGACGGUACCGGAAGAAUAAGCACCGGCUAACUACGUGCCAGCAGCCGCGGUAAUACGUAGGGUGCAAGCGUUAAUCGGAAUUACUGGGCGUAAAGCGUGCGCAGGCGGUUUGCUAAGACCGAUGUGAAAUCCCCGGGCUCAACCUGGGGAACUGCAUUGGUGACUGGCAGGCUAGAGUAUGGCAGAGGGGGGUAGAAUUCCACGUGUAGCAGUGAAAUGCGUAGAGAUGUGGAGGAAUACCGAUGGCGAAGGCAGCCCCCUGGGGCCAAUACUGACGCUCAUGCACGAAAGCGUGGGGAGCAAACAGGAUUAGAUACCCUGGUAGUCCACGCCCUAAACGAUGUCAACUAGUUGUUGGGGAUUCAUUUCCUUAGUAACGUAGCUAACGCGUGAAGUUGACCGCCUGGGGAGUACGGUCGCAAGAUUAAAACUCAAAUGAAUUGACGGGGU
RNAcentral lists this ribosomal RNA (573 nucleotides) under uncultured bacterium. RNAcentral describes it as "partial 16S ribosomal RNA". It matches the Rfam family "Bacterial small subunit ribosomal RNA", at positions 355 to 919 of the family's 1533-position model. The record is from RNAcentral.